AGUGCGUGACGUGGCAGUGCGUGACAGCGCAGUGCGUGUGCGGGCAGUGCAGGACCCGUGGUUCCGCGCACAGCCUCGCCUGCCUCCACUUAGCUCCCGCGCCGAGCCCAGCGCGGGUCUCAAGCUCUCUGCGGCCGCGGGAGCGACUCAGGCCGCCGGCCACGCGGGCACCUGGGGGAAGCUCACCGGCCGCCUCUGCUGCGUCCCUCGCUAACCUCCCGGGUCUUCCUGCUCCGCUCUCCAGGCCAGGCCUGAAGCCAAUGGAACACAGACCCCUGGAAGAAGAAAUUUGGACACAGACAUAUACAGAAAGAAGACUAUGCAAAGUUACAUGGAGAAGACAGCCACCUGCUGACACCUUGCUAUUAGACUUCCAGCCUCAAGAACGAUGAGACAGUUGACUUCUGUUGUUUAAGCUACCAGGGUCUUUCACCUGUAGUGUCUCAUUUAAUACCUACAACAAAUCUGCAAGAGGCAUGUUUCGGAUAAAGACACUAAGGGUAUCGAAAAUAUAUGUCCGCACUCACCUUCUCCUGGUGCUCAUUCUGACUCUUUCUCAAAUGACCAGGAUCUCACACUGAAUUGGCUUCAGACUUCCAGAAGGAGGAAACUGACCAUUCCUACAAUCCCGCAGCAAUUGCACCAGCCAGGCUCUGCUCAGCCACCCGGGCCACCUGCCCAGGGCCAGCCAGAGAGGAGGGCACCUGGCCACCAUCACUCCAAGACAGAUGCAGACCUGGGUCUGCAGGGCCAGCUCUGGCUCAGAGUCCUCUGGAAUCUCCCAACUCAGUCCCCGUGGACGUUCUCUGCUCUCCACAGAGGACACCAGGUGCUGGCCCUCAGGGACUCUGUGCUUCCUUCUCUGCAGCUCAGCCUUCUCUGAGAUGCUGAGCAGCCCCAGGGCCCACAGAGCCACCACUAUUCCCCAAGGCCUCUCUAAGGUCUGUGCUGCUAUGUUCUACCAGGCAGAGGGGAGCAGCCUUCUCAGAAGGUGAAAGCUGAGAGUGGGAUCUGAAGUCGGAGGCCUCAGACCCAGAGGACGGGCCCUUGAAGCCCCUGCACCUAGGCCUGGCCCUCUUUUGUGUCCUGGUCGCAAACCCACAGGCCACUGAUGGUCCGGGCUGGUUUGGACAAAGAACACUCUCCUCCUUUGCAUUAGAAGGCCUCACGGUGCCAUCCAGGCUGUCAUCCUUUACUUUCAUUUUAUCCCUUUUGAAAAAUGAUAAUCUCCAAGAAAUUCCCUGGAGGAUGCCUCACAACAUGCUCUAUCCAAAUUCUUCCAAGUGAAGAAGCCUUGGAGAUUUGGUGGCUAUUUUCAGCUCCGCAUGAAGAUGUGCCCUCUCCGUUUGGAGUGUGAAGGGAGUCCCCAGGCGCAUGUUCCAGCAUCGCUAUAACACUUCCCUGCCAGCAUUUCCCUGCAGGUCCCACGCUCAGUCCCUACAGCCUGCUUCUAGAUAUUGCAAGAUGCAGCCAGAGUAACUGCCGCAUGGAAUGGAGUUAAGUGGAGCAUUUGAGCACAGCUGAAUUGCUGGGAGCCGCAGUGGAAGAAAUCUAUUAGUGGCGCGGCUUGAAACAAUACACAAAAGGCCGCUGCGUGUGGUCACCAUCCGUGCUUCCCACUUCCUUCUGUGGAACAAUAAAUCUCCAAGUCAGCUAGAACGCAGCGACUCCCAUCCGACCAGAGCCCAGUUUUUAUCUUUUAUUCAUUGGCAGGAACAUUAGCUGUAGGAGGUAUUCAAAUCACACUUUUAUUUAAACAAACACAGCUGGAUUGCAGCCUCUUAAUAUAGCAAUUCUCUAAUGAAAAAUAACAACAUAGUAUUUAUCUCUUUUCUUUUGUGUGACUCUCAAUUUGCUAAAAUUAGGCAGACUUCAAUCCCAUACAAAAUUGGCAUGUUUUCAUGACCAGAGCUCAUCGCAACUAACUGCAAAAUUAUAAUGGGGAUAUAAUUAUAGGAGGGCAUGUGAAAUACACAUCCUUUUGCUGCUGUAAGCUAUAUGGGGUUAUGCAAUUAUGUUGUAAUAACAUCAUUUAUCUUAAAGGAAUCAGACAGCUGACUUCAUUUAUUUAACUUGAGCACUCCAAUUACGUGCUGUGUCAGUUUAACGUAAGUGUCUUGCCCAAAGAACUCGGUGUAAUAACAAUGGUGAUAGUAAUAAUAAUAAUAAUAGUGUGUGUUUGUAUAGGGCUGUGUGGAACACAGCAUUUGCACAGCUUGGAUCUUCUCUGAGUCUCAGGACUGUCCUGGGAGGCAGCCUGCAACUCUGCCCGUUUUAUAGACGAGAAAACUGAGGCCCGGUGAAGCAGGGGCCUUGUCAGGACAUGCACAUGGUACACAGUGAGGUAAGGACUUCAAAGUCAGGUUCUGUUUCUCUUAUACAAGAGACCAAAGUGUGGAGAAAGCAAAUACGUGCUGGCUGACAGGAAGA
Heterocephalus glaber (naked mole-rat) is the source of this 2430-nucleotide non-coding RNA. Lineage: Eukaryota; Metazoa; Chordata; Mammalia; Rodentia; Bathyergidae. The record is from RefSeq and is a predicted model, not a curated record.